UUAGGGCCUCAUCUCUCAUGCCAUUGGUGCCUAUGAAAUUGUAAUAUAUGGUCCAAAUUCAGGGCUAAAAAGAAAAGCACCAUUGCACUGAGGAAGGGAAAGGGAGGAGAGGUCACCAGCUGGAGCUGAGGCUGAGGGCGGGCUGAUGGUGUGGAGGGUUCAGUUCAAGAUACAGUGGGUUCUGUAGCCCCUCUCCAAAUGCACACCCCACCCCCUUACUCUGCUCCACUCACCCAUGUCUCACCGAUGACAUGUUUACUUAUCUCUGUCNNNNNNNNNNNNNNNNNNNNNNNNNNNNNNNNNNNNNNNCAGCCAGCUCCCUGCCAGUGGCUGUAACACUGGAGACUCAGCCUGAAGAACACCUCCAACAGGAGCAGCUCAGCCUGCGCCCAGUCCAGGCCAGGGGAUCCUAGUGAUGCUCGAGUACGGGAGGUGGAGGACCAGUUCCCCCCAUUGUCCUCGCCCCUCGGGUGGGAGACUGCUUCCCAGAGUCCUGUUGGAGGAGAGAACAGAUUGGCGAAGGGACCAGCUGGAAGUUACAGAGCUACCGGGGUGUCCAGGCAGGGACGAGUGCCCAGGACUUCUAACUCCUCAUCCACAUUCCUUCAAAGGAAGGAGGGAAACUCCAGCCCCAGGACUCACCAUGCCUAAGACCAGGGUGAUGCCCUUCUGAGCCCAAAUCCCCAUCCUACACGUCACUCCAGACCAUGCUUCGUGAAGGCCAACAUCUCCUCCGUCUUGUCGCUGCUGAUUCCCACAGACUGUUGGAUGAAUGCAUGAAGGAACAAAUGGACACACGUGGUCCGGUCUGUUCUUUAGAUCCUGUCCCUUCCUUGCUUGAAAUCUUGUGGGGGCUCCAUAUGGACACAGGAUGAAACCCAGGGUUUCAUUCUGGCAUUCAAAGCCUUUCACAACUGAUUCCAAGUGUAUGAAGUAUAAACACUGCUUACAUCCUACUAUGCUGGGCCUGUGACAAUGAUCCUGGAACUGGGCUUGGAGAGGAGAAGAGGUGAGCUGACUUGUCUUUUUCCCACUUCUCUCCUCCUUCCUUCUGCCCAGCUGGUUAGAACAUCUUAAGGUUCAGGCCCAGGGUCAAAAGCCCGGGUAGAGAGGGAAAGUCCAGAAUGAUGGGGAGAUCCCAUCUGGAAGAAGGCUGGCAGGAGUCCCAGGGAUCUGCAUGUGAGCCUCUAGUGGGCGCCGUGAACCUGGCUCCACUUCCCAGAUUGGGCCAGGAGGGGGCGGCAGUGUCCCUGGUUACAGGUACAAAAACCACCCCUAGCUUCUGAGUAUGAUGCAGCUGGGAACAUCUGAAUAUGUGAGCCAGGCGUGGAUGAGUGCAUGUGUUUGCAAGUGUGGAAGAUGGUCCAAGCAUGUGACUGAGUGCCCUGACUGAGAAUAUGUUUCAUGAGUGCAUUUAUUCAUUCAACUCUGUGGCUCAUUCACAAGUGUUUAUUAAGUGUCCACUCCUCCCCAAGCCCUGCUCAGAUGUCUAGGACACAGCAGUGAGCACAAUGAAUGUGGUCCCUGCCCUGAUGAAGCCAGAGCUGGGCAGAGAGGAGACAAGGAAAGAAGCAGGCCAACAAAUCAAUGAUGUCACAGGGUGGGAAAGAUAACCUCAGGCCAAGUGGGCAUAGAGCCCCUCUCCAAGGGAGUGACAUUGGAGCUGAAACUAGAAGGACCAGAAGGAAUCAGCCAAGCAAAGAAGUGGGAGAUCGUCCCUGGCAGGAGGAGUGACGAGGGUAAAGGGUUGACAGUGUCUGUAGUAAUCUGAGCUUGAAGAGGUUGAACUUUAUUCUAAGGAAAGGCCUCGGACUUUUUAAACUGGGGGUGAUGUGAUGUUGAUUUACAGUUUUAAAAACUCUCUGAUUCUUGAGUAGAAAAUGGUUGAAAACUGGACAGGUAGAUAGUGAGGAACCUCCUGCAAGGAUCCAGGCAUGAGCGGACAGGGGCUGCACCCUAGUGUGACUGUGGAGCUGGGGGGUCUAACGUGGAUCCCACGUUGUGGAGGCCACCUGACGGUGGGCGAGAAGAGAAAGCAAGGGCAUCCCUGGGCUCUGGGCCUGAACGGCUGGGCUUCUAAGUGGGAGCAGCUGUGUCAGGGGCUGCUUUGCAUUUUGCACGCAUGCAUGCUUAGUCACUCAGCUGUGUCCAACCCUUUGCAACCCCAUGGACUGUAGCCACCAGACUCCUCAGUCCAUAAAAUUCUCCAGGCAAGAAUACUGGAGUAGGUUUCUAUUUCC
RNAcentral lists this long non-coding RNA (2240 nucleotides) under Capra hircus (goat). RNAcentral's name for it is "lncRNA (ENSCHIG00010005104.1)". The record is from RNAcentral. Lineage: Eukaryota; Metazoa; Chordata; Mammalia; Artiodactyla; Bovidae.